Dermochelys coriacea (leatherback sea turtle) is the source of this 1074-nucleotide long non-coding RNA. RefSeq lists it as uncharacterized. The record is from RefSeq and is a predicted model, not a curated record. NCBI's taxonomy places the organism in Eukaryota, Metazoa, Chordata, Testudines, Dermochelyidae. The transcript has 3 exons.
GUUUCCCCUGAUUGGAGCUGACUGGGCAGGGGCUAAUUAGGUGCUUAUACACCAGUACCCUGCUACAUCAAUGUUUUGCAACAUUUACCUUUUUCAUUCCAGAGCUGAUGCAGGGAGUUCUUUUACAGUUCUUGUAUCCCAAUUUCCCAAGAGCGUUCCUGGGAUCCACACGUAUUGGCUGAGUCCUGAUCUUUUUUGGUUGAGAAGCAUUUCACUUGUGUUCCUAAAUGAUUACAACCUGAUGCUUCCUUUUCUGGCUUCCAUGCCAUCCCUGCAGGAUAUGUCAAGGGACAGAGCCUGACAGACAGUAUCCUACAUGGGAAAUAUGGGGAAGGUGAGGCACGAAGAGGUGAAGUGACUGGCCCAUUGUCAUUCAGCAGGUUAGUAGAAGAGCAACAACUGGAACCUACAUCUCUGACUCCCAGUCCAGCUCUCUAGCUACUAGGCCACAUCUCCUCCUAUGAGGCAGAUAAAGAUUGCAAGGGGCAGCACUGUGCCAAUAAGUGGAUGAACUUCGCUCAUACUUGCUUUAAAGCAUCAUAAGGUUCAAGAUCUACAAAUAGACUGUCUCGUAGCCUUUGCUGACCAAACAGUGCACUACUAGUGAAUUACUAAUUUAUGUGCACAACUAUUUUAAUAAUUUGAUUAGUCAGGACAUUCAUUUAAAUUAUGACCUCUUUUCGGCAAGGACCAUCUUUCUGUGCUGUGUUUGUAUAGUGCCAAAUAGAUCAGGAUCCCAUUCUAUGGUGAGUCUCAUCGGAUACAUCAUAUGCAAAUAAUAAUCAAUCAACAAUUCUAUGUAUAAAACAUGGUAUAUGGAUACAGCCACCACCCUUUACUCCAACAUUUGUCUAUUAAAAUGCUAGCCAAUUGGGCAUCACAAAGCUAAAUGAAAUUCUUUGUGGAUGGGUGCAAGGUAAUACAUAUUUGGAGGAACAAUGUCAGCUACUUAUACACAAUGAUAAGUCCUGCAGCCACUCAGGAAAAAGACCCAGUCAUCACUGUGGACAGCUUCAACUAAAAUCAAUUCAAUGUGCAGCAGUAGUCAAAAAUGUGUUAAGAUUAUUUGUGAAA